GCUACUUCGAACUUGAGAAACUCUCUCAUUAGUACACCAUCCACUAUUGGGUUCUCGACUUCUGCCAAUAUUCUCAUCAUAUUGCCUAUCGCUCUAGUUGUUUUCACUCUCAUAUAAUCAACUGGAACUCCAUGUACUUGAAUCCAAAAUUCCAUGUAUUCAUGACUUACCUCAUAGAUUGAAACAUCUUGAGACUAAUACUGCAGGUUUAUUAGACUAUCCCUGAUAUUCCACGAGCCGUUGUGGAGAAUCUUUAAUCUAUAGUUAAUGUUUUUAAAGCUAAUGAGUAUUUUAUUUCUCCCUACUUCUGUGAUAGCCACUCCAGUCAGAUUGUCCCAGAGACUGAGUAAGUGAUCUGCUCCUUGGAACAAUGCUUGGCUGCUAUGAUGGUGACACGAUAGUGUUAUGUGGUUAUUGCUGCUGUGUUUUGGUGGUCUAACAAGAAGCAAUGCUGGCGACGAAUGUUACUUAGUGAGGGUGAUGAUGGGUGGAAAAUCUAUGGGUGAAAAACUCUCGGUGAAGGGCUUUAAGUAAAGGGUUAUUGCUAUUCUUCCUCUAUCCUGGUAUAAUAUAUGGUCUAAGUGAUAGAAUGGUAGAAUGGUUCAAGAUUUGGUUAUGUUUGUGUUGGGAUUGUGCUUAAUUUGCUUGUUUGGAGUUGGUGAUAUAUGUGUUUAAGGAAUGGUCAAUGCUAUUUGGUCAGGACCUGCGUUCUAGGUUGACUUUCCAGACGAGAGGAAAAUCUCUCCCAAUGAGAAUUGCAUUACCAGCUUGUAUCCCUUUGUAUACCAUGCGAAUUUCUUCUGGGCCUUUAGUCUUAUUAUUUAUAAAAAAGAAAAUAUUUGAAGUAUAGAACUCCUCGUAAAAAUAAAGAUAAAAUAAAUAGUAUAAAAAUUAUAUACAAUUAUUUGUUUCUUUUUCCUUUAUAUAAAGGUGUAAAGUUAAUGGUCCA
Long non-coding RNA from Arachis ipaensis, 949 nucleotides. RefSeq lists it as uncharacterized. The record is from RefSeq and is a predicted model, not a curated record. NCBI's taxonomy places the organism in Eukaryota, Viridiplantae, Streptophyta, Magnoliopsida, Fabales, Fabaceae.